CUUAAGGACUGCCCAAAGGUCCACCCAAUUCUUUUUUUUUAGUCUUUAUUUAUUUUAUUUAUGUAUUUAUUUUGAGAUAGGAUCUCACUCUGUUGUCCAGGCUGGAGCACAGUGGUGCAAUCUCGGCUCACUGCAGCCUCCACCUCUGGGCUCAGGUGAUCCUCCCACCUUGGCCUCCCAAAGUGCUGGGAUGACAGGCGUGAGCCAGUGCGCCCAGUGAAGGUCCCCUCUUCUCUCCACCAUGACCUGCUCCACCCCUCCUUCCUCUCCAGGUGGGCAUGACGGCUCCCGGGACCCGGCGGCACAUCUAUGAUACCAAGCUGGGAACCGACAAGUGUGACAACUCCUCCAUGUCCCUGCAGAUGGGCUACACACAGGGCGCCAACCAGAGCGGCCAGGUCUUCGGCCUGGGCCGGCAGAUAUAUGACCCCAAGUACUGCCCGCAAGGCACAGUGGCCGAUGGGGCUCCCUCGGGCACCGGCGACUGCCCGGACCCGGGGGAGGUCCCUGAAUAUCCCCCUUACUACCAGGAGGAGGCCGGCUACUGAGGCUCCCAGCACGCUCUCUCCCCACAUCGUCUCCCCAUCUGGGUUUUUGGGUUUUUCUGUGUUUUCAUCUUUUUUUUUUUUUUCUUAACCCGUUCAGUGCUGCCAGUCAACCAAGGGUCUGUGAGUGUCAGCGUGGGAUCAGGCAGCAGAGCUUUGCCUUGAUCCUUCGCAAGACUGAGCCACUGGGCUGUGGGGGAAGGGGUCAAGGCCAUAUCCCAAUACGUGUAGGGCGAGGGUCCCUGCUGGCACAUUCAGGCUGUGCUGGGAAGAAGAGACCUGAGCUUGGAAGGAACCGGUCCCCGACGGUUUCUGGUUGCCUCGCCUCUUCCCCCUUUUGUCAGCUGAGCAGUUUGUGGUUUCUAUGCCCGCAAGUUUCAGGAAGUAUUCACAAAAGAAAAAUACAUUUUUUUCCCGAGGGGUGGGGCAGGGACAGUGGAGAGGGUGCUAGGAAAUGAGCCCCCUGGGAAAGGGGACCAGGCCGUGAUGUUAAAUAUCUCCGGCUCCCAAGUGACUGGAUUUCCCUAGGACCUUCAGACCAACAGACUUCAGACCCUCAGACCUGCCCCGGGGCCAGGUGGGGAAAGUGAGGGCCGUACAAGGAAGUGAAAUUCUGAGUUGUUGGGGCUAAGCCUGACGCCCUCUCCAUGCUCCCCGCCCCAACCCACUCUGGCCUCAGUAGAUUUUUUUUUCAGUUGUGGUUGUUGCCCAGGCCGGAGUGCAGUGGCGCCAUCUUGGCUCACUGCACCUCCACCUUCCGGGCUCAAGCGAUUCUCCAGCCUCAGCCUCCUGAGUAGCUAGGACUGCAGGUGCUCCACCACGCCCGGCUAAUUUUUGUAUUUUUAGUAGAGACGGGGUUUCCCCAUGUUGGCCAGGCUGGUCUCGAACUCCUGGCCUCAGGUGUGAUCCGCCCGCCUCCGCCUCCCCAAGCGCUGAGAUUACAGGUGUGAGCCACCGUGCCCAGGCCCUCAAUAAGUUUUAAGGAGCCCCCAGCCCUCCUCCCUUCUGGGCCUGACCAGCUUAUACUGCUCCAUCUUCCCGGGCCACAUGCCCCGCCAAGUACUGCACAGGGACCCCCCGCCCAGGGGCCCUGCUCCGUGAGAUAAUGUGAAAUACGACUGUGGACCAAACGCAAUAAAACCUCUGUACGAAG
Molecule: small RNA, 1698 nt
Filed under: Pan troglodytes (chimpanzee)
Lineage: Eukaryota; Metazoa; Chordata; Mammalia; Primates; Hominidae
Description: retained intron
Source: RNAcentral